UACGGAGGGUGCAAGCGUUAUCCGGAUUCACUGGGCUUAAAGGGUGCGUAGGUGGGCAGGUAAGUCAGUGGUGAAAUCUCCGGGCUUAACCCGGAAACUGCCAUUGAUACUAUCAGUCUUGAAUACCGUGGAGGUAAGCGGAAUAUGUCAUGUAGCGGUGAAAUGCUUAGAUAUGACAUAGAACACCAAUUGCGAAGGCAGCUUACUACCCGAAUAUUGACACUGAGGCACGAAAGCGUGGGGAUCAAACAGG
This 253-nucleotide ribosomal RNA is filed under the name uncultured bacterium. Its description in RNAcentral is "partial 16S ribosomal RNA". It matches the Rfam family "Bacterial small subunit ribosomal RNA", at positions 524 to 776 of the family's 1533-position model. The record is from RNAcentral.